RNAcentral lists this unclassified non-coding RNA (235 nucleotides) under plant metagenome. Its description in RNAcentral is "partial contains small subunit ribosomal RNA, internal transcribed spacer 1, and 5.8S ribosomal RNA". The stretch from base 1 to 54 matches the Rfam family "Eukaryotic small subunit ribosomal RNA", at positions 1778 to 1831 of the family's 1831-position model. The record is from RNAcentral.
GGAAGUAAAAGUCGUAACAAAGUUUCCGUAGGUGAACCUGCGGAAGGAUCAUUCAUAAUAAGUGUUUUAUGGCACUUUUUUAAAUCCAUAUCCACCUUGUGUGCAAUGUCAGGGUUGAUUUUUCUCUCGAGAGGAUCAACCCCAAACAUCAACUAUAUCUCAACUCUUUGUCUGAAAAAUAUUAUGAAUAAAACAAUUCAAAAUACAACUUUCAACAACGGAUCUCUUGGCUCUC